CAGGGUUACACCUUUGGAGAGGGAACUUCUCAAAGACCUUCAGAAUAAAAACCCAAAACAUGAAGACCACUGCAGAGGAAAGUAAUCAUAGAGCUGCAGACAUAGAGCUGCAGACAUAGAGCUGCAGUUAUAGAGCUGCAGACAGCAGUCAUAGAGCUGCAGACAUACAGCUGCAGUCAUAGAGCUGCAGACAUAGAGCUGCAGUCAUAGAGCUGCAGUUAUAGAGCUGCAGACAGCAGUCAUAGAGCUGCAGACAUACAGCUGCAGUCAUAGAGCUGCAGACAUAGAGCUGCAGUCAUAGAGUUGCAGAGAGCGGUCAUAGAGCUGUAGACAUAGAGCUGCAGACAUAGAGCUGCAGUCAUAGAGCUGCAGUCAUAGAGCUGCAGACAUAGAGCUGCAGUCAUAGAGCUGCAGAGAGCGGUCAUAGAGCUGCAGACAUAGAGCUGCAGUCAUAGAGCUGCAGUUAUAGAGCUGCAGACAUAGAGCUGCAGUCACAGAGCUGCAGACAUAGAGCUGCAGACAUAGAGCUGCAGAGAGCAGUCAUAGAGCUGCAGACAUAGAGCUGCAGUCACAGAGCUGCAGUCACAGAGCUGCAGACUCAGAACUCUAGAUCCAGAUUGGGUGUUUUGAGCUCAGAGUUCUGACGGAGGUUCUGGUGGACUUUGAUUCAGACUCACAGACACUCAAAGCUUCACGCUCUGAGGAAGAACAGAGUAAUUAACUCUGACUGAAACGAAUCCUCGGCUCUGAUGAAGGACAUGAUUUAUUGGCUGACGAUGAAAUGAGCCCAGGAGCCUCUGGGGGCGCUGUUGAUGUUCUUUUAUUUUCUGCUGCUUUUUAAUGACCAACACAGAUUGAUUUUAUUCAUCAGAUCAUGUGAUUAUAAUCUGUAUAAUAAUAAGAUAAUAAAUAAUAAUAAUAAUUAUUAUUAUUAUUUAUUAUUUUUUUAUUAUUAUUAUUAUUGUCUGUGGAGAGCAGCUCCUGUUUCUGUGUUUACACUCUUCAUAUGGUUACUCUGGAUCUCAGCAGGUUCGGUUCUGUUCGGUUCUGAUCCGCUCUGUCUCUUCUUUUUUCUCUGUCAAUGCUCACAGAGACGUUAAAAGAUACCGGGACAUGAGUGUUGUCGGGCUGGACCCGGGGGAGACUGAGGAGGAUCCACUGUUAUGUUUGCUAAUAAAAAGACAAUUAAAAGGGCUUUUAUUUUGAAAGUUUUCUCAGUUCAGCUCUGAGAAGAACCGCUCAGUGUCAGGCUGCUGAAACAAAGACUUCAGUUAUUCUGGACGGGCUGAAAGGAAGAGAGGGAUGAAGAGAGGGAUGAAGAGAGGGAUGAAGAGAGGGAUGGAGAGAAGGAUGAAGAGAAGGAUGAAGAGAAGGAUGGAGAGAGGGAUGAAGAGAGGGAUGAAGAGAAGGAUGAAGAGAGGGAUGAAGAGAAGGAUGAAGAGAAGGAUGAAGAGAAGGAUGGAGAGAGGGAUGAAGAGAGGGAUGACUGAACGAACGAGUGAGAGUGAGAGGGAAACAAGAGAGAGGAGAAAACGAGAAGAGUGCUAAUGAGAGGGAGACACAAUUACACAACAAACCCCUCCCCCCCCGUCUCUCGCUCUAACGGCUCUACGGCGUUUUUCUCUGAUCAGGAAACUUUUGUAGUUUUCUUCUCUAUAAUUAUCGAUCCGUUAUUCGACGUUAGAAUCUGUUUUUUCUUCUGAAGAGACGGACGUUAGGAGACAAAACAGGAAAACUCUGAAGGAACUAAAAACCAGUUUGAAGGACUGUUCCACUACAACACUGUCCUCCAUCUCUAUGUUAUCCACCAACAGAUAAAACAAGAUCCAAACAAGAUCCAAACAAGAUCUGCCGUCCACCCUCUGGGACUCUACUGUUGGUUCUUCAUGAAUGAAAGAUCUGACCAAGGUUUUAGAGCGGAGGGUCCGCAGAGUCAGGCAGUCACCCUAAAGACAGGCUUCAGAUCCUGACCUAACCCUUGACUUAUCCUGCUCUAAUCCUGCUCUAAUCCUGCUCUCUGUCAACUUCUAGAGCUAAAGAUCUUGUUCACACACACCAACAAUCAGCCGUCCACCAAAGUUUUGUUCCAGAUUAAAUCUAGAUCUGGACAUUUGGACCCGAGUCUCGGUUUAACGACAGAAAAAGUCCGACCCCGCUGAUAUUCCUCACUAUUUGCCUGAUGAUUAGAUUCAUGACCCGAUCCGUUUUCCCCCCAUGAUCCAGUCCUGAGUUUAGGUCCAGCAGAGGGACAAUGGGGUUCAUUGAAAGUUGAGUCUGCAGAUCCAUGAAUGUGUUUCUGUGGACCAACAACAGGAACGUUAUCAGGAACCAGCAGCAGCCAGACGCUGGUUCAGGCGAGCCGACAGAUAAGAGCAGCUAACCCCCGACACAAAGCUACCACCAUCAGAACAACAAAACACACACACACAGGGACACACAGGGACACACAGGGACACACACAGGGACACACACAGGGACACACACACACAGGGACACACACAGGGACACACAGGGAGGACCCCACAGCCGAGCGAGUGGGUGAGCUUUUCAAACUGCUGACGACCUUCACUGUUUUGAUGACGCAGAGGAAGUCACCAGGAAAUACAACAUGUAGAAUCCUCAGAGAGUGUGUGUGUGUGUGUGUGUGUGUGUGUGUGUGUGUGUGUGUGUGACGGGGGGGCUUUGUUCUGAUGGUAUGCUGUGUGUCAGUCAUCCUGCAGUAACAAUAAUUCACGGCCCCAACAGUCACACGGGGCGACCCCGGCUCUGACCUCGCCGCCAUGCAAAGAAAACAACGCGGCUCCACGGCAGAGAAACGCAGACGCCAACAACCAGAGAGCGUUGGAGCGAAUCAUCAGGACGCUCUGAUUCAGGACAGAGAGGCGAAGGUUUUUAUCAUCAUCAGUAAAGACCAAUCAGUGACUUUAAUUAGAGAGGGCGGAGCUACGACUCAUUAUAACAGUUCGAACUGUGAUUAUUAUUAUCUCUGAUAUCAUUAUUGAUAUUAUAUUCUAUUAUUUAUUUUAGUUUAUUUUAGUUUAUUUCAGUUUAUUUUAGUUUAUUUCAGUUUAUUUUAGUUUAUUUUAGUUUAUUUUAGUUUAUUUUAGUUUAUUUUAGUUUAUUUCAGUUUAUUUUAGUUUAUUUUAGUUUAUUUUAGUUUAUUUCAGUUUAUUUUAGUUUAUUUUAGUUUAUUUUAGUUUAUUUUAGUUUAUUUCAGUUUAUUUUAGUUUAUUUUAGUUUAUUUUAGUUUAUUUUAGAUUAUUUCAGUUUAUUUUAGUUUAUUUUAGUUUAUUUCAGUUUAUUUUAGUUUAUUUUAGUUUAUUUCAGUUUAUUUUAGUUUAUUUUAGUUUAUUUUAGUUUAUUUUCGUUGUUAAAUUACCCAAUGAUUUGAUUAUUUAGUAUCAGAGUCUAAGAGACUCGACUCUUCGCUGUCCCGUCCUGACGGCGCCGACAGACUCAGAGUUACAUAAGAAGAGCCGGAGGCUUCUGUAGGAUCAUCUACAUCCAACAUGACACGUGUGUGUGUGUGUGUGUGUGUGUGUGUGUGUGUGUGUGUGUGUGUGUGUGUGUGUGUGUGUGUGUCUGAGCCGGGUCCAGUUCUCAUCUGUGGUCUGAAAAAAAGGACCAGGAAAAGAGACUCUGAGGGCGGGGCCACAGGAAGACCAGGACUCACGGGUCACUCAUGUUUACCAUGAAAAUGUCGGCGAUAAAAAGGUGAGAGAGUGAACAGAUUAACGCCGAAGGGACGAGAGAGAGAUUAGAGAGGUCAGAGGUCAGAGCGGAGCCGAGAGCGACCAUGGAGAAAAAACGUCUUAUAUAAGAGCCUGUACAACAAAGGGACACACACACACACACACACACACACACACACACACACACACACACACACACACACACGUGCACACUCACACAGGUUUCACUUUCAGCUGAGAGGUUUCAUUCACAGAUGCUGUGAGCCUCUGAUUACCCAUCAUGCAGCUGAAGCGGCGGGUUAAUGCGACCCUCUCAGGGCUAUAAACCACAGGUGUGUGUGUGUGUGUGUGUGUGUGUGUGUGUGUGUGUGUUUGUGUGUGUGUUUGUGUGUGUGUGUGUGUGUGUGUGUGUGUGUGUGUGUUUGUGUGUGUGUGUGUGUGUGUGUGGGGGGGGCGUCUUCAUUCACAAAAACAAUUUUUUUCAGAAACAAAAUUAAAUCCUCAAAAAUCACGAACGGACUCAGACUCCCAGAAUCCCCUGCAGAAGUCUGACAUCACAGCAGCGAAUGGCUCUGUCAGCAGUUCUUCUGCCUCCAUCACCACGGGUGGAGAUAAGCAGACUUUAGCAGGUUACUAACAGACCUUCUUCAGACAACCGACAAACAGCUGAUCCAGAGGAGGAGUCUGACAGUGAGGAGGUGGACAUGUUCUCCAACCUUCAGAGAACCUUCAGAGUCCACCAACAGAGAGGAAACAGAGCUCCUUCUGACCUUUAGAGAUCCUCCUCUGAGACCUGCUCCUCCUCUGAGACCUGCUCCUCCUCUGAGACCUGCUCCUCCUCUGAGACCUGCUCCUCCUCUGAGACCUGCUCCUCCAGGUGUCUCACAGUGUUCAGAAAGCAGCCCACUCAGUCAGAGCCGGGCUCUAAGGACCGGGCUCUCAGGACCGGGCUCUGAGGACCGGGCUCUGAGGACCGGGCUCUCAGGACCGGGCUCUGAGGACCGGGCUCUAAGGACCAGGCUCUCAGGACUGGGAACAGAGUGAAGAUCUCCUCAGUGAACUCACAGGUUCUCCUGUUAGAAUCAGACCUUCUCAGUCUGAGCAGACCU
RNAcentral lists this long non-coding RNA (4801 nucleotides) under Xyrichtys novacula (pearly razorfish). Lineage: Eukaryota; Metazoa; Chordata; Actinopteri; Labriformes; Labridae. The record is from RNAcentral.